Long non-coding RNA from Vespa velutina, 160 nucleotides. RefSeq lists it as uncharacterized. The record is from RefSeq and is a predicted model, not a curated record. NCBI's taxonomy places the organism in Eukaryota, Metazoa, Arthropoda, Insecta, Hymenoptera, Vespidae. The transcript has 3 exons.
GAAGAUUAUAUCAACAAUGAGUAUUACACUUUUGGAAUAUACGAACAGAUUUAUUCUCUCUUAAUCAGUGAGAAAAAAUUAAUAUUGAUCGCCAAAUUACUGGAAAUGACCUUGCCUUCAUUAUGCUUCACAUCUUGCUAUUACAAUCUAUUGUUGAAGG